This 562-nucleotide ribosomal RNA is filed under the name uncultured bacterium. RNAcentral's name for it is "bacterial SSU rRNA". It matches the Rfam family "Bacterial small subunit ribosomal RNA", at positions 119 to 674 of the family's 1533-position model. The record is from RNAcentral.
AGGAAUCUGCCUAUUAGUGGGGGACAACAUCUCGAAAGGGAUGCUAAUACCGCAUACGUCCUACGGGAGAAAGCAGGGGAUCACUUGUGACCUUGCGCUAAUAGAUGAGCCUAAGUCGGAUUAGCUAGUUGGUGGGGUAAAGGCCUACCAAGGCGACGAUCUGUAGCGGGUCUGAGAGGAUGAUCCGCCACACUGGGACUGAGACACGGCCCAGACUCCUACGGGAGGCAGCAGUGGGGAAUAUUGGACAAUGGGGGGAACCCUGAUCCAGCCAUGCCGCGUGUGUGAAGAAGGCCUUAUGGUUGUAGAGCACUUUAAGCGAGGAGGAGGCUCUUUUGGUUAAUACCCAGAAUGAGUGGACGUUACUCGCAGAAUAAGCACCGGCUAACUCUGUGCCAGCAGCCGCGGUAAUACAGAGGGUGCAAGCGUUAAUCGGAUUUACUGGGCGUAAAGCGCGCGUAGGCGGCCAAUUAAGUCAAAUGUGAAAUCCCCGAGCUUAACUUGGGAAUUGCAUUCGAUACUGGUUGGCUAGAGUGUGGGAGAGGAUGGUAGAAUUCCAGGU